This 497-nucleotide ribosomal RNA is filed under the name uncultured bacterium. Its description in RNAcentral is "partial 16S ribosomal RNA". It matches the Rfam family "Bacterial small subunit ribosomal RNA", at positions 28 to 507 of the family's 1533-position model. The record is from RNAcentral.
GACGAACGCUGGCGGCGUGCCUAAUACAUGCAAGUAGAACGCUGAAGAGAGGAGCUUGCUCUUCUUGGAUGAGUUGCGAACGGGUGAGUAACGCGUAGGUAACCUGCCUGGUAGCGGGGGAUAACUAUUGGAAACGAUAGCUAAUACCGCAUAAAAUGGAUUAUCGCAUGAUAAUCCAUUGAAAGGUGCAAAUGCAUCACUACCAGAUGGACCUUCGUUGUAUUAGCUAGUUGGUGGGGUAACGGCUCACCAAGGCGACGAUACAUAGCCGACCUGAGAGGAUGAUCGGCCACACUGGGACUGAGACACGGCCCAGAAUCCUACGGGAGGCAGCAGUAGGGAAUCUUCGGCAAUGGACGGAAGUCUGACCGAGCAACGACGCGUGAGUGAAGAAGGUUUUCGGAUCGUAAAGCUCUGUUGUAAGAGAAGAACGAGUGUGAGAGUGGAAAGUUCACAAUGUGACGGUAUCUUACCAGAAAGGGACGGCUAACUACGUG